UACGUAGGGGGCAAGCGUUGUUCGGGAUUACUGGGCGUAAAGGGCACGUAGGCGGACUGUUAAGUCGGAGGUGAAAUCCUGAGGCUCAACCUCAGAAUUGCCUUCGAUACUGGCGGUCUCGAGUACGGGAGAGGUGAGUGGAAUUCCCAGUGUAGAGGUGAAAUUCGUAGAUAUUGGGAAGAACACCAGUGGCGAAGGCGGCUCACUGGCCCGUAACUGACACUGAGGCGCGAAAGCGUGGGGAGCAAACAGG
RNAcentral lists this unclassified non-coding RNA (253 nucleotides) under uncultured Alphaproteobacteria bacterium. Its description in RNAcentral is "contains 16S-23S intergenic spacer region". It matches the Rfam family "Bacterial small subunit ribosomal RNA", at positions 524 to 776 of the family's 1533-position model. Lineage: Bacteria; Pseudomonadati; Pseudomonadota; Alphaproteobacteria. The record is from RNAcentral.